Molecule: transfer RNA, 63 nt
Filed under: Freysuila caesalpiniae
Lineage: Eukaryota; Metazoa; Arthropoda; Insecta; Hemiptera; Psyllidae
Description: tRNA-Asn
Source: RNAcentral
UUGAAUUGAAGUCAAAAAGAGACAAAUUAUUGUUAAUAAUUUUAAUGAUUAAAAUCCUAUUCA